Transfer RNA from Ipomoea nil (Japanese morning glory), 82 nucleotides. It matches the Rfam family "tRNA". Rfam says of the family: Transfer RNA (tRNA) molecules are approximately 80 nucleotides in length. Their secondary structure includes four short double-helical elements and three loops (D, anti-codon, and T loops). NCBI's taxonomy places the organism in Eukaryota, Viridiplantae, Streptophyta, Magnoliopsida, Solanales, Convolvulaceae. The record is from Rfam.
GUGGGCGUGCUGGAGUGGGUAUCGAGCAUGACUAGAAAUCAUGAGGGUUUUGCCCGCACAGGUUCGAAUCAUGUUGCUCAUG